GCAUUGAUGGUGUAGCGGUAACAUGCGGUCUUCCCAUAGAGUUGGUGUUUGGCCGCGCUCCGAGUUCGACUCUCGGUCAAUGCA
Molecule: non-coding RNA, 84 nt
Organism: Leucogyrophana mollusca
Lineage: Eukaryota; Fungi; Basidiomycota; Agaricomycetes; Boletales
Source: the annotation of a GenBank genome assembly